RNAcentral lists this ribosomal RNA (483 nucleotides) under uncultured bacterium. Its description in RNAcentral is "partial 16S ribosomal RNA". It matches the Rfam family "Bacterial small subunit ribosomal RNA", at positions 28 to 507 of the family's 1533-position model. The record is from RNAcentral.
AUUGAACGCUGGCGGCAUGCUUUACACAUGCAAGUCGAACGGCAGCGCGGGCUUCGGCCUGGCGGCGAGUGGCGAACGGGUGAGUAAUGCAUCGGAACGUGCCCAGUAGUGGGGAUAGCCCGGCGAAAGCCGGAUUAAUACCGCAUACGACCUGAGGGUGAAAGCGGGGGACCGAAAGGCCUCGCGCUAUUGGAGCGGGCGAUGUCGGAUUAGCUAGUUGGUGGGGUAAAGGCUUACCAAGGCGAGGAUCCGUAGCUGGUUUGAGAGGGAGACCCGCCACAAUGGGACUGAGACACGGCCCAGACCCCUACGGGAGGGAGCAGUGGGGAAUUUUUGACCAUGGGGGCAACCCUGAUCCAGCCAUGCCGCGUGCGGGAAGAAGGCCUUCGGGUUGUAAACCGCUUUUGUUCGGGAAGAAAUCCUCUGGGCUAAUACCCCGGGGGGAUGACGGUACCGGAAGAAUAAGCACCGGCUAACUACGUG